AGUGAACGCUGGCGGUAGGCCUAACACAUGCAAGUCGAACGGCAGCACAGUAAGAGCUUGCUCUUACGGGUGGCGAGUGGCGGACGGGUGAGGAAUACAUCGGAAUCUACUUUUUCGUGGGGGAUAACGUAGGGAAACUUACGCUAAUACCGCAUACGACCUACGGGUGAAAGCAGGGGAUCUUCGGACCUUGCGCGAUUGAAUGAGCCGAUGUCGGAUUAGCUAGUUGGCGGGGUAAAGGCCCACCAAGGCGACGAUCCGUAGCUGGUCUGAGAGGAUGAUCAGCCACACUGGAACUGAGACACGGUCCAGACUCCUACGGGAGGCAGCAGUGGGGAAUAUUAGACAAUGGGCGCAAGCCUGAUCCAGCCAUACCGCGUGAGUGAAGAAGGCCUUCGGGUUGUAAAGCCCUUUUGUUGGGAAAGAAAAGCAGCAGGUUAAUACCCCGCUGUUCUGACGGUACCCAAAGAAUAAGCACCGGCUAACUUCGUG
RNAcentral lists this ribosomal RNA (492 nucleotides) under uncultured bacterium. RNAcentral describes it as "partial 16S ribosomal RNA". It matches the Rfam family "Bacterial small subunit ribosomal RNA", at positions 29 to 507 of the family's 1533-position model. The record is from RNAcentral.